AGACUACAAAUGAUACCAUGAUCAUGAAGGUGGUUUUCCCAGGGCGAGGCUUAUCCAUUGCACUCUGGAUGUGCUAACCCCUGUGAUUUCCCCAAAUGUGGAAAACUCAACUGCAUAAUUUGCGGUAGUGGGGGACUGCAUUUGCACUCUCCCC
This 154-nucleotide small nuclear RNA is filed under the name Prolemur simus (greater bamboo lemur). RNAcentral's name for it is "U1 spliceosomal RNA (ENSPSMG00000021852.1)". It matches the Rfam family "U1 spliceosomal RNA". Rfam says of the family: U1 is a small nuclear RNA (snRNA) component of the spliceosome (involved in pre-mRNA splicing). Its 5' end forms complementary base pairs with the 5' splice junction, thus defining the 5' donor site of an intron. There are significant differences in sequence and secondary structure between metazoan and yeast U1 snRNAs, the latter being much longer (568 nucleotides as compared to 164 nucleotides in human). Lineage: Eukaryota; Metazoa; Chordata; Mammalia; Primates; Lemuridae. The record is from Rfam by way of RNAcentral.